CGCUGUAUUUGAGUUUAGUCCCUCAGUGCUUUUCUGUUUGGCCAGCCUGAGGCCACUUUUGGAUUUUCUCUUUGCAGGUCACGGAGAGAAUUCAAGUUUAGAAGCUACAUAUUGGUAUAAAAAUCUAAUUCUGUAAUGGGUGUGUCGCCUCGUGUCUGUGCUGUUUGGAGAAGAGGAAAAGAAGCCAAGCUGUGGUGAUGAAAAACUCAUAAAAAUUACAGAAUGGAACCUCAGAGAUCAUCCAUGGGCAGGGAUGUCACCCACUAGAUCAGCUUGCUCAAGACCCCAGUGUAUUGUGUGACAGAAGUAUUGAUUCCUUCUGGGAUGCAUCUAUUCGGCUCUUAUUUUGGAAAGUAAAAACUAUGGUAAGGUGAAAGUAUGGUUUAACUCAUUAAAAAUGCUUGGGGUUUUAUUUUAAUUCAUGUUCAAUAUAUAGAAGAAGGGGCUAAAUGCAGUUCUUUGGGGUAGGAUUAUCUCUCUAAACUCUUUGCUUGUGAUGGAAU
RNAcentral lists this long non-coding RNA (503 nucleotides) under Ficedula albicollis (Collared flycatcher). RNAcentral describes it as "lncRNA (ENSFALG00000028169.1)". The record is from RNAcentral. Lineage: Eukaryota; Metazoa; Chordata; Aves; Passeriformes; Muscicapidae.